Molecule: long non-coding RNA, 2300 nt
Filed under: Homo sapiens (human)
Lineage: Eukaryota; Metazoa; Chordata; Mammalia; Primates; Hominidae
Description: HSALNT0317528
Source: RNAcentral
GUCUGAGGAGCGGGCUAACCGGCUCCUCCAGCAGCUGCUACCUCCAGCACCACUCCCUCUGCCCCCAGAGGAGAGCACCCAGUCUGGUUCGGGACAGGGGUCUGGGUCCAUCUGACUCACAGCCACACCUCGGGCUGGGGCAGAGGAGGGUCCUCUAGCUAAGGCCCUGGGCAAGCAGCAACCCUGCACCCAUCCCCACCCAGGGGCAGGGGAAGCAAGCACCUGACAGUGCCAGGUAAGAGGCGAACAGCUCUAGGAGAGUAAGGCCCACAAGCAGCCCGCCAAGCCCCCUGGGGGCACGAGGCGGAAUGAGUAGGUCUGGCACUCAGGCCACGAGGGAGUCAACAAGCCAAAUACAGCCCCCACCCUUGGCCCCUACAAGCCCUACCUCUAGACUGGGCUGGGAGCUCCUGUCCUGACAGGUGCAGAGCCCAUGAUACCACAGCGGCCCAUCUGCAAACCUCCCCAGGGUGGGGCCACAGAGGCAGCCCAGAGCCCUGGGGUGCAAGUGCACCCUCCUCUCCCGCCCCUCUAACGCUGGGUCGUCCCACCCAGAGACGAGAGGGCUCACCAGUUGCUCUCCCUCCUUCCGCCCACUAAUCAUCCUUGGCUCUGGGCCCUCAGGGUAAAUCAGCUGUGACAGGACGGCGUGGCAGAAGCGGGCCAGGCUCGUGCCGUACCCAAGCCACUAGCUGUCACACUCAUCUCAGCUCACGUGACCAACAGGGUUACAAGAUAAGGUUCUGUUAAUCCCACGCUGCCCUCUUCCCUUCUGUGGGACGUGUUUUGAGGACUUGUGUGUUGACUGCACCAUGCAGAGCAUAUAGCAUGGAGGCACCCCUACUGCCAUCGGGGGGCAGGUGGAGGGGGGACCGUCCUGCAGCUCCUCCCUGGGGCUACCCCUCUCUUCCCUCUGCACAGACCUGGCAGCCACCCAGACGUCCCGCCUGCUGCCUAGACUCUAAGAAGAUGCCCUAUCACUCCAAUUACCAUACACAGUACUGGCGGGGGAGAGGUCCUGCCUUGCCGCUGAAAACUGCACUGCUUCCUCCCUCCAGGGAUGAAAGGCCAAAAGAACGAGGGCAGUGUGGAGUCUACGCUCUCGCCAGGGACCUGCAGCCUCUCACUUCCAAGCACACCAACUCCAGCUAACAGGACUGGGCUUCCUUACCUGCCGCCUUCCGCUGCCUCCCCGCAGACACAGCUUCAGCGACGCCCAGGCUGAGACGGCAGAAGAGGUUCCCGCCGGCCGCGGCCUGCCCUCAGGCAGUGGCUCCCAGAGCUCAGCGGUUCCCCGCACUCUUCUGCGCCCGACUCCCCAUGCCCCUACAUCCUGCGUCCCCUUCAGCCCCGGAGGUACCGUGGGGCCCGGGCCUGCCAGUCACCACCUCCUCCUCCGCCGGCGCCUCCGGGUCCUGAGCCCCUCGCCGGGUCCCUCUCCCUCCUGGGGCUCCUUCCCGUUCAGGUAGGUUUCCUGGACAGCCCGCACCACCUGUCCCUCCUGCACCCCGGGCAGCCAAUUCGCCUCUUGCACCCCCAGGCGCCCCUCCCCCGCAGGCCCCCGGGGCCCCACCGGCCGGGCCCUCCCCACCAGCUCGGGGCGGCUUCGGGGCGCCGGGGCCGCUCCCAGGACCACCGCCUCCCGCCCGACGCUCUCCCACUGCCGCUCCCCCAGUUCGCCGGAACUUUCCGGCCCCUCCCUGCGCUCGCGGGGGCCUUCCCCGGACUCGGACGCCGGUUCGGGCUGCUGCAGCAGCCUCCGCGGGCUCCCCUCCCCGCGCUCCUGCACCCCGGCCCGGGCCUCGCCGCGCUCCUGCACUGCGGGGCUGCCUCCGCCCUUCUCCUGGUGCUGCCCGCGGGGCCCCAGCCCCUCCUCCUGCGCCACAGGCCAGCCCGCCGAGCCCGUCCACCACGGCGGGCGCCCCCAGCCCGCGCCGUCCGGCGGCCCCCACACCACCCCCCGGCUGGGCUCGUGGCCGCGGCCGCCGCGCUCCUGCAGCCCCGGGCCCACCCCGCCCUCCUCCUGCACCGCCGGGCCCACCCCGCCCCGCUCCUCCACGCCGAGCUUCAGCCCGCGGAGCUGCUGCGGGCCCCAGCUGAGAACCCCUACGCGCUGCGGCUGCUGCUCCGGCAGCGCAGGGCUCAGCCCGCCGCGCUCCUCCUGCGCGACCCGCCGGGGGCCCCCGACCGGCUCGGCCCAGCGCACUCGCUUGCCCCCCAGAGGCCGCGCGCUCCCACCCCUCCAGAUGGUGCUGCCCUCGGCGCCCGCUCACACCGCCCGCCCGCCCCGGCCCUCCCCU